This 480-nucleotide ribosomal RNA is filed under the name uncultured Flammeovirgaceae bacterium. RNAcentral's name for it is "bacterial SSU rRNA". It matches the Rfam family "Bacterial small subunit ribosomal RNA", at positions 28 to 505 of the family's 1533-position model. The record is from RNAcentral. Lineage: Bacteria; Pseudomonadati; Bacteroidota; Cytophagia; Cytophagales; Flammeovirgaceae.
GAUGAACGCUAGCGGCAGGCCUAAUACAUGCAAGUCGAGGGGUAAGUCAGAAGCUUGCUUUUGACACGACCGGCGAACGGGUGCGUAACGCGUAUGCAAUCUACCUUGUACUAAGGGAUAGCCCGAGGAAACUCGGAUUAAUACCUUAUAGAAUCACAGAUAGGCAUCUUGAAGUGAUUAAAGAUUUAUUGGUAUAAGAUGAGCAUGCGUCUGAUUAGUUAGUUGGUGAGGUAACGGCUCACCAAGACCACGAUCAGUAGGGGUUCUGAGAGGAUGAUCCCCCACACUGGCACUGAGAUACGGGCCAGACUCCUACGGGAGGCAGCAGUAGGGAAUAUUGGUCAAUGGGCGAAAGCCUGAACCAGCCAUGCCGCGUGCAGGAUGACGGCCUUCUGGGUUGUAAACUGCUUUUAUAUGGGAAGAAAAAGUCCUUGCGAGGAAAAUUGCCUGUACCAUAUGAAUAAGCACCGGCUAACUCCG